The sequence is a small nucleolar RNA, 88 nucleotides long. It matches the Rfam family "Small nucleolar RNA SNORD24". From Rfam's summary of the family: U24 is a member of the C/D class of snoRNA which contain the C (UGAUGA) and D (CUGA) box motifs.
AUUAGAUGAUGUUACAUAUAUUUGCUACUUCGGACGAGGCUAUCUACCUCGAAUGAGACAUAUUUUAAUCACCAAGAUCUCUGAUAAU